GAUGCUGCUGGCGGAACCUGCAGGAGCUAGCGGGAUUCGGGGGCGCUAAAGUCGCAGGGGCAGGGCGGGAAGGAAGAUCCGGCGCGGGGCAUAGGAUCCGGAGCUGGAGCCCCCAGAACUCUGUGGCAGGUGCCCCCUCCGCCAUCACCUGAGCUCCAUCGAAUGCCUGAAAUCCUCACCUCUGCAGGGGUGAGUCUCCCAAGAGUCCCCGGAGGCCCAGGCCCAGACCCUGGGGGAUAUGGAAGCGUUCCUCUGUCGUGGCAUGGGAAGCCCCACACUGUUCUUUCCUUGGUGACGGGCGACCCGCCACGUUCAGGCCCCUCCUGGCCCAUCUUCGGGAAGCUGAGGCAGCAGCUUGGAGCUGGAGCCAGAGCCAGAGCCGCUCCAUCCAUGGGGAGCUGCACCUCCUCUGUGCCCACCGCCAUGCUGAGUCAGGCUUUGAGACGCAGUCAUCAUCGGGAAGUGGUUCUUGUUGUGGCCCCAUCCCCCCGUGUUAUUUUCCUACCUUGGAUCACUUAAAAUUUCAAUCUGGCUCUGA
This 538-nucleotide small RNA is filed under the name Pongo abelii (Sumatran orangutan). Its description in RNAcentral is "processed transcript". Lineage: Eukaryota; Metazoa; Chordata; Mammalia; Primates; Hominidae. The record is from RNAcentral.